UACGUAGGGUGCAAGCGUUGUCCGGAAUCAUUGGGCGUAAAGCGCGCGCAGGCGGCCCGAUAAGUCUGCUGUGAAAGUCCGGGCUCAACCCUGAAAGGCCGGUGGAAACUGUCGAGCUAGAGGCCGGAAGAGGCGAGUGGAAUUCCUGGUGUAGCGGUGAAAUGCGCAGAUAUCAGGAGGAACACCAAUGGCGAAGGCAGCUCGCUGGGACGGUGCUGACGCUGAGACGCGAAGGCGUGGGGAGCAAACAGG
This 252-nucleotide ribosomal RNA is filed under the name uncultured bacterium. RNAcentral's name for it is "partial 16S ribosomal RNA". It matches the Rfam family "Bacterial small subunit ribosomal RNA", at positions 524 to 776 of the family's 1533-position model. The record is from RNAcentral.